Molecule: ribosomal RNA, 777 nt
Filed under: uncultured bacterium
Lineage: Bacteria
Description: bacterial SSU rRNA
Rfam family: Bacterial small subunit ribosomal RNA
Source: RNAcentral
AGAGUUUGAUCCUGGCUCAGAACGAACGCUGGCGGCGUGCCUAACACAUGCAAGUCGAACGAGAAAGUUUCUUCGGAAACGAGUAAAGUGGCGCACGGGUGAGUAACACGUGAAUAAUCUGCCUUCGAGACUGGGAUAACUUGACGAAAGUUAAGCUAAUACCAGAUAAGACCACGCUUCACAGGGAGUGCGGGAAAAGGGAUCUCAAAUCCUGCUCGUAGAUGAGUUCGCGUACCAUUAGCUUGUUGGUGAGAUAAAAGCUCACCAAGGCGACGAUGGUUAGCCGGCCUGAGAGGGUGAUCGGCCACACUGGAACUGAGACACGGUCCAGACUCCUACGGGAGGCAGCAGUGGGGAAUCUUGCGCAAUGGGCGAAAGCCUGACGCAGCAACGCCGCGUGAGCGAUGAAGGCCUUCGGGUCGUAAAGCUCUGUCAAGUGGGAAGAACACAAUGACGGUACCACUAGAGGAAGCCCCGGCUAACUUCGUGCCAGCAGCCGCGGUAAUACGAAGGGGGCAAGCGUUGUUCGGAAUUAUUGGGCGUAAAGCGUAUGUAGGUGGUUUAUCAAGUCAGACGUGCAAGCCCUCGGCUCAACCGAGGAAUUGCGUUUGAAACUGAUAGACUUGAGUGUAGGAGAGGAAAGCGGAAUUCCCAGUGUAGCGGUGAAAUGCGUUGAUAUUGGGAAGAACACCGGUGGCGAAAGCGGCUUUCUGGCCUGCUACUGACACUGAGAUACGAAAGCCAGGGGAGCAAAGGGGAUUAGAUACCCCCGUAGUC